RNAcentral lists this unclassified non-coding RNA (2374 nucleotides) under Leishmania donovani. RNAcentral describes it as "gene:LdHU3.21.0780(CDS-product:nucleotide-binding _protein_putative)". The record is from RNAcentral. Lineage: Eukaryota; Euglenozoa; Kinetoplastea; Trypanosomatida; Trypanosomatidae.
CUGCGGUCACGCACACAUAUUCUUACGUGAUAUCCCUUUUUUUUGCGUAGUGGUGGUGGUGGCGACCAAUGGCGACGGCGCAGAACGCAAACCCCGAGUGCGUCGGCCCCGAGAGUCCGCAGGCCGGCAUUGCGCCCUCGUGCCAGGGAUGCCCCAACGCCGCUAUCUGCGCAUCCGCACCCAAGGGCCCCGACCCUGACAUACCCCUGAUUCGCGAGCGUCUCACCGGGGUGAAGCACAAGGUCAUGGUCGUCAGCGGCAAAGGCGGCGUGGGGAAGAGCACCAUGACGAAGGAGUUGGCGUUUGCUCUCGGAGCACGCGGACUGUCUGUCGGGCUGAUGGACAUGGACAUCUGCGGGCCGUCGCUCCCUCGUCUGACUGGUGUGCGCGGCGAGGAUGCGCAUCAGAGCGCUGGCGGUAUCGAGCCCGUCCUGGUUGAUGAGAACGUGACGAUGAUGUCGAUGCACUACCUGUUGUCGAACAAGAACGAGGCGGUGCUGUUCCGCGGUCCUCGCAAGAACGGCGUCAUCAAGAUGUUCCUCAAGGACGUGAUAUGGGGUAAUCUGGAUGUCCUACUGAUUGAUACCCCACCAGGCACCUCCGACGAGCACAUUACCGUCAACUCGCUGCUGCAGCAGACGACGAACGGCGUAGACGGUGCCGUGCUCAUCACCACCCCGCAGCGCGUCGCGGAGGCGGACGUGCGUCGUGAGGUCAACUUCUGCCAGAAGGCGAAGCUGCCCAUCCUCGGCCUCGUGGAGAACAUGAGCGGCUUUGUGUGCCCCGGGUGCCACAAGGAGUCGCAGAUUUUUCCAAAGGAGGAGGGCAGGGAGGGCAGGAAGGAGGGUGCCGGUGUACGGCUUAGCCGCGAGUUUGACGUUCCCCUCUGGGGGGAGGUGCCGCUGGACCCGCUUCUCAUGAAGGCGUGCGAAGAGGGCAUCUCCUUCUCCGAGUACGUAGAGAAGAGCGGGAUGACGAGUAGUACCACGCUGGACGCUCUCUUCACCGUGGCCGACCAGCUGAUCGCCUCUCUAGGGAUUCAGGUGGACUGAGGGGCUCCAGAUCGAUGAACGAAACCGGUCCCUCGGACUUUCCGUCACUCCCUCUCCUGCGGGGGGGGGGCGGCAAAACUGUUGCGACUCUUCCAUUCCUCAGGCCAAAGCGCUACAGACACACACACACACACUUGAUCAAGCCCGAACGGCGCACAGCCAAGCGGAGCUGCAGAUGCGCGAUGCGGGAGUUUUGAGGCGUCGGCGCGUAUGCGCGUGUUUAGGCAGGGAAAGCGAGGAAGGGGAGGGAAGAGAUGAAGUGCGUUCUACGUUGCCGGUGAACAGUGACAUCGUUCUAUAGCUGGUGAUGAUGACAUGGCACCGCACAUGUUCUGUGACACUUCAUUUUUUCUUCUCCCUGAUGACUGGUGAAGGAGCGCGUGGCACACACACACCCCUCAGUGCGUGGCACCUCAGGGACCAGUGCACCCACUCUCUCUGUCUGGGAAAAGCCGGGCAGCCCCCUCCCCCAUGCCUUGCCAAGUGCCGAGCCGCUUCUGGUGGCGACGGGGUCAGGUACCUACGCCGCAGGGGGGAGGGUUCAGAGCGAUGUGUCGCUGCUGGUGCCGGCGGUGGCGUCCUGGAUGACGUUGCAUCGGAGUGGCCCGCGACAGCGAGGCAGAUCUGUAUCCAUCCACAUGAUGGGCAGAGCGUCAUCGUGACCCGAGCGUCUCCCACCCGGCCCGGCCCUCACACCGCCCACUGGUGUGGGUGGGGUGCCCGAGCGCCACCGCGAGGGGGAUGCGUCCGGUGGCGGCCGGCAUGGUGGGCGCGGCUGCGCGGCGCCCCGCGAAGCAUGGGCUGUGGGCGUGGGUGGGGGCCGUGCUCUCCGAUGGCUGGGCCAGCGCGUUGCUGUGGCGCGUGUGUGUCUACGGCUGCCAUCGGCCCACGCGAGGUUGGGCCUGUGACGGAGGAGGAGGUGUAGACAGGCGUUCGACCUCGUGUCGUGCGGCAGAGAAAUGAAUAUGUGAGGGAAGAAGGAAGUCUCUCAUCGUGUCUUCUGAUGCCCUGCCGUUGUGUAGCCAUUCAGCAAAGCAGAUACAGAAGCACAUACGCUCGCGGUCUCAUGGGAUGGCCUUCCGCUCUUUCCUGGCCAACGCCUAUUGCGUGUGGGGCACAUAUGAAGUCGUUCUCUCUACAGAGAGAAAAGCGGAUGGGGCGGAGGAGGCGCUCGCGUCCCUUUCCUUGUGCUUUGGGCUUCUCUCGAUGUGCAUGUGCGUCUUCAGCUGUUCUCCUCUCCGCCUCCUCGCCCGACGCGUGCGCACACACGUGCGUUUAUGCAAUCGCAUCGCUGGCGCACUUUAUUUUCCCUUGCCUUGCAG